This 522-nucleotide ribosomal RNA is filed under the name uncultured beta proteobacterium. RNAcentral's name for it is "bacterial SSU rRNA". It matches the Rfam family "Bacterial small subunit ribosomal RNA", at positions 200 to 715 of the family's 1533-position model. The record is from RNAcentral. Lineage: Bacteria; Pseudomonadati; Pseudomonadota; Betaproteobacteria.
GGGAUCGCAAGACCUCGCGCGAUUGGAGCGGCCGAUAUCAGAUUAGGUAGUUGGUGGGGUAAAGGCUCACCAAGCCAACGAUCUGUAGCUGGUCUGAGAGGACGACCAGCCACACUGGGACUGAGACACGGCCCAGACUCCUACGGGAGGCAGCAGUGGGGAAUUUUGGACAAUGGGCGCAAGCCUGAUCCAGCCAUGCCGCGUGCGGGAAGAAGGCCUUCGGGUUGUAAACCGCUUUUGUCAGGGAAGAAAAGGUUCUGGCUAAUACCUGGGACUCAUGACGGUACCUGAAGAAUAAGCACCGGCUAACUACGUGCCAGCAGCCGCGGUAAUACGUAGGGUGCAAGCGUUAAUCGGAAUUACUGGGCGUAAAGCGUGCGCAGGCGGUUAUGCAAGACAGAGGUGAAAUCCCCGGGCUCAACCUGGGAACUGCCUUUGUGACUGCAUAGCUAGAGUGCGGCAGAGGGGGAUGGAAUUCCGCGUGUAGCAGUGAAUGCGUAGAUAUGCGGAGGACACCGAUGG